RNAcentral lists this ribosomal RNA (1001 nucleotides) under Kellermania crassispora. RNAcentral describes it as "SSU rRNA". It matches the Rfam family "Eukaryotic small subunit ribosomal RNA", at positions 97 to 1106 of the family's 1831-position model. The record is from RNAcentral. Lineage: Eukaryota; Fungi; Ascomycota; Dothideomycetes; Botryosphaeriales; Planistromellaceae.
CUCAUUAAAUCAGUUAUCGUUUAUUUGAUAGUACCUUACUACUUGGAUAACCGUGGUAAUUCUAGAGCUAAUACAUGCUAAAAACCCCGACUUCGGAAGGGGUGUAUUUAUUAGACAAAAAACCAAUGCCCUUCGGGGCUCCUUGGUGAAUCAUGAUAACUUAACGAAUCGCAUGGCCUUGAGCCGGCGAUGGUUCAUUCAAAUUUCUGCCCUAUCAACUUUCGAUGGUAGGAUAGUGGCCUACCAUGGUAUCAACGGGUAACGGGGAAUUAGGGUUCUAUUCCGGAGAGGGAGCCUGAGAAACGGCUACCACAUCCAAGGAAGGCAGCAGGCGCGCAAAUUACCCAAUCCCGACACGGGGAGGUAGUGACAAUAAAUACUGAUACAGGGCUCUUUUGGGUCUUGUAAUUGGAAUGAGUACAAUUUAAAUACCUUAACGAGGAACAAUUGGAGGGCAAGUCUGGUGCCAGCAGCCGCGGUAAUUCCAGCUCCAAUAGCGUAUAUUAAAGUUGUUGCAGUUAAAAAGCUCGUAGUUGAACCUUGGGCCUGGCUGGCCGGUCCGCCUCACCGCGUGCACUGGUCCGGCCGGGCCUUUCCUUCUGGGGAUCCCCAUGCCCUUCACUGGGUGUGGCGGGGAACCAGGACUUUUACUUUGAAAAAAUUAGAGUGUUCAAAGCAGGCCUUUGCUCGAAUACAUUAGCAUGGAAUAAUAGAAUAGGACGUGCGGUCCUAUUUUGUUGGUUUCUAGGACCGCCGUAAUGAUUAAUAGGGAUAGUCGGGGGCAUCAGUAUUCAAUUGUCAGAGGUGAAAUUCUUGGAUUUAUUGAAGACUAACUACUGCGAAAGCAUUUGCCAAGGAUGUUUUCAUUAAUCAGUGAACGAAAGUUAGGGGAUCGAAGACGAUCAGAUACCGUCGUAGUCUUAACCGUAAACUAUGCCGACUAGGGAUCGGGCGAUGUUAUUAUUUUGACUCGCUCGGCACCUUACGAGAAAUCAAAGUCU